Molecule: unclassified non-coding RNA, 262 nt
Filed under: uncultured Corollospora
Lineage: Eukaryota; Fungi; Ascomycota; Sordariomycetes; Microascales; Halosphaeriaceae
Description: sequence contains ITS1
Rfam family: 5.8S ribosomal RNA (bases 1-106)
Source: RNAcentral
GAAAUGCGAUAAGUAAUGCGAAUUGCAGAUUUCAGUGAAUCAUCGAAUCUUUGAACGCACAUUGCACCCGGCGGCCAUUCCGCCGGGUCUGCCUGUCCGAGCGUCGUUUCGCCCCUCGAGUCCACCAAGCACUCGGUGUUGGGGAUCUGCAGGGCCCUCAGGGGCGCUGCAGACCCUGAAAUACAGUGGCGGGCCCUGCUGGAAUCCCCUGCGCAGUAACAAAUUUCUCGCAUCCAAAGGUAGGGUUACCCGCUGAACUUAA